This 154-nucleotide unclassified non-coding RNA is filed under the name uncultured Dothideomycetes. Its description in RNAcentral is "sequence contains ITS2". RNAcentral also lists the same sequence under 1 other name. Lineage: Eukaryota; Fungi; Ascomycota; Dothideomycetes. The record is from RNAcentral.
GUACCCUCCAGCCCUGCUGGGUGUUGGGCGUUUUGUUCCGCUACACGCGUGAACUCGCCUCAAAUGCAUUGGCAGCCAGCCGUCCCGCGUGGGAGCGCAGCACAUUUUGCGCUCUCCGCUGGGUGCGGCGGCGUCCACAAGCCUAUACUUUUAC